Molecule: ribosomal RNA, 775 nt
Filed under: uncultured Neocallimastigales
Lineage: Eukaryota; Fungi; Neocallimastigomycota; Neocallimastigomycetes; Neocallimastigales
Description: partial large subunit ribosomal RNA
Rfam family: Eukaryotic large subunit ribosomal RNA
Source: RNAcentral
CGCAUCUGUGCAUGCAGCAUAUCAAUAAGCGGAGGAAAAGAAACUAACAAGGAUUCCCCUAGUAACGGCGAGUGAAGCGGGAAGAGCUCAAAUUUGAAAUCUUAAAGGGUCUCCCUUUACGAAUUGUAGUUUUAAAAGAAGUGUUUUCUGUGAGGUUUUGGUAAAAGUUCUUUGGAAUAGGACAUCAUAGAGGGUGAGAAUCCCGUAUUUGACCUUUACUUUCAACUUUGUGAUACACUUUCAAAGAGUCGGAUUGUUUGGGAAUGCAGUCCAAAAUGGGUGGUAAAUUUCAUCUAAAGCUAAAUAUUGGCGAGAGACCGAUAGCGAACAAGUACCGUGAGGGAAAGAUGAAAAGAACUUUGAAAAGAGAGUUAAACAGUACGUGAAAUUGUCAAAAGGGAAGCGUUUGACACCAGUGUUGUUUUUCUGAAAAUCAAUUAAAGAACUGUUUAUGCUAAGUUGUUUAGACUUUAUCAGCUAUCUGUUUAGUUUUGAGCUUUUCUUUAAUGCACUUUUCAGUUAACAAGUCAACAUCAAUUUCUUUUGCUGUAAAAAAGCUUGAGGAAGGUGGCUUGAGAUUCGUCUUAAGUGUUUAUAGCCUCUUGCCUAUGCAGUCGGAGAGAUUGAGGUCUGCAGCGUAGAUCCUUCGGGGCUAAAUGCAUUUGUGCUAAGUUAUAGCAUUUUAUAGACAACUUGUUGACUAUGAUUUGUCUUGUAGCUUACUCGCUUAUGUUAUUUUACCUACGCUUAGGAUGUUGAAGAUGUAGCACAUCAU